GACGAACGCUGGCGGCGUGCUUAACACAUGCAAGUCGAGCGGUAAGGCCCUUUCGGGGGUACACGAGCGGCGAACGGGUGAGUAACACGUGGGUGACCUGCCCUCAGCUCUGGGAUAAGCCUGGGAAACUGGGUCUAAUACUGGAUAUGACUCCACGGUGCAUGUCGUGGGGUGGAAAGCCUUGUGCGGCUGAGGAUGGGCCCGCGGCCUAUCAGCUUGUUGGUGGGGUGAUGGCCUACCAAGGCGACGACGGGUAGCCGGCCUGAGAGGGCGACCGGCCACACUGGGACUGAGACACGGCCCAGACUCCUACGGGAGGCGGCAGUGGGGAAUCUUGCGCAAUGGGCGAAAGCCUGACGCAGCGACGCCGCGUGAGGGAUGACGGCCUCGGUGU
RNAcentral lists this ribosomal RNA (394 nucleotides) under uncultured bacterium. RNAcentral's name for it is "bacterial SSU rRNA". It matches the Rfam family "Bacterial small subunit ribosomal RNA", at positions 28 to 423 of the family's 1533-position model. The record is from RNAcentral.